RNAcentral lists this ribosomal RNA (292 nucleotides) under uncultured bacterium. Its description in RNAcentral is "partial 16S ribosomal RNA". It matches the Rfam family "Bacterial small subunit ribosomal RNA", at positions 505 to 796 of the family's 1533-position model. The record is from RNAcentral.
GUGUCAGCAGCCGCGGUAAUACGGAGUGUGCAAGCGUUACUCGGAAUCACUGGGCAUAAAGCGCACGUAGGCGGAAAUGCAUGUCCGGGGUGAAAUCCCCCAGCUCAACUGGGGAACUGCUUCGGAAACUGCAUUUCUUGAGGACGAGAGGGGAGAGUGGAACUUCUGGUGGAGCGGUGAAAUGCGUAGAUAUCAGAAGGAACACCGGUGGCGAAAGCGACUCUCUGGCUCGUAUCUGACGCUGAGGUGCGAAAGCUUGGGUAGCAAACAGGAUUAGAUACCCCGGUAGUCC